CGUUCUGCAAUUUCCUUUGGGAACUGAUCAGUCAUGCCUAUUUUCAUGCUAGCGAGCCUUUUGCCCAGACUUUUAACCAUUAUUUUAUCCUUAAAGAAUGCAAAUUUUGCAACGAUUGGGCUUUGAAAUAUGUUUCCUCGCUGUCUGAAAGGAUUUACACGUUUGAGUUUGAUUUUGUAUCGCCUGUGAUCUGUAGCACUUUAACCAGGAAAUCUUUCACCACACUCUCUGGAUCUUCACCCUCAGUCUCUUUAAUAUUGACGUAUCAAUCUUUUCAGCUGGUUUUCAGGUCAAAGAGACUCAGCACACCCAGCAGUGCAAAGAUUCCUCAAUCUUUGCGUAGUCUGGGGUGAUGAGUCAGAUUGGCUCAGGAGGACCAGCCAGCAAAGUGCGAAGAUUUCUCCAUCUUCUCAGCUGGUGCUGAGGACAAACAGACCCUAGUGCAAAGGGAAUCUUUGUUUACAGUUGUUUUGUGCAAUGAAGCAUUUAACUCUAUAGUAGUCAUAGAUUGAUAUUUGGAUUGCAGUUUAUUAAAUUAAUAUGAUGGUCUGAUGGACUAUUGAUACUCAAACUGUCCUGAACUUGUCUGGAAAAGUCUAUUGUGUUUCGCUAAUUUGAAAGCAAAUUCAGUUUGAAAGCAUACUCAAUGCUGUACAUAUUUUAGUGUUGAGGGUACUAUAAUCAAACACACUCCUUUUGAUAUUAAUGCCAGUCAUUUUAUUUUUUCUUGUCAGAUUUCAGUUGCUGCAGCUGAGUCAAAGACUCUGAACCCUCAGGAGGAUGAGCCAGCAAAGCGCAACUGUGAAAAAAACAGAAUGAUUUCUCUGUUUUUGCUGCAGUUAGAGGAAAGAUUCAAGACACUUAGACAGACCAGGCAGCAAAGGUCAAAAGGACCUGGACAUUGACAUGGGCUGGUCAGAGACGAGCAGUGAAGGUGUGGCCAAGGUCCCCCCCCCCCCCAGCCCAGCAGGCCAAAGUGAGUAAUAAAAGAGAGAUUGUCCAAAAGAAAGAUGGGAAUGACAAAGUUGCGGAGUUUAAGACAGAUGCAGAGCUCAUUAUGGAAACACACAGUGCAUUCGGAAAGUAUUCAGACCCCUUGACAUUUUCCACAUUUUGUUAAGUUACAGCCCGGUCUAGUCAACCUAGAUUAGGCCUACAUUUUUAUGUUUUUAUUAGCCUACUAUUAGGCCUAUUAUAGUUCCCGCGCAUCAAACACCUCCCAUUUCCAACAAACAAACAAUAUGCCCAUUUGCUUGGAAUACAGUUGAUCGAUAUUUUAGAAGUUGUGCUCACAGUUUGAAAUUUACAUGAAGAUACUCACACCAUCCCCCAGUCAAGUUCAAAAUGGAUAAAUACCAACCAUUGUGGGAAAAUUGGCACAUGCAAAGUUUAGUCUUUUUUUGUGCCCACAGCAUCUUCGAUAAAUUAGGCCCCUUGUUUUUUCAGGGGCAGUCUGCCCAAUUUUAUGUUCAAAAGGGCCAGGGUGACACUGAGUAGGAUAUCUAUAUUUAAAGGAAUGACAAACCAAUGUGCCACCUACAUAUUGUUUAUCUUCUGUUUGCACAAAGAGACUACCUCCCACAUCACGGAUAUAGGGCCAAAUUUGAACAAAUAAACCAAUAUUGUGUGCAAUGUGCUGUAGACAAACAGUUUGUCCUCUGUAUACAUGACCUACCUUGUUGUCAUGUGUUCUGUUUAACUUCCCUUCUUACCAUGCAUAAGCAUGUCUAAACAUGUCAAUAAAGGAAGAGAAAGACGUACAAGCCAGGUUGAUACUGUAUGUGGGAAGAUCUCAUUGAAUAAAGGCUGUGUGUUUCCUUGUGUGUGUGUGAGUGUGUGCGUGCGCGUGUGCGUGCAUGUGUCCGUGUGCAUGUGUGAGCUUGUGGCACCGGAAGGCAGCUUCCUGCAGUGCAAUGUAAGAGCAGGGGGUUGAUGAGCUUAAAUCAUGCCUCUAUUCAAUCACUCAACCACUGUAGUGCGUUGACCACCAGUGCUAUGCUAAAGUUGGUGUGCUGAAUUGUUAACUCAAGUGAAUAAGUAACAUGGGAUGUUCACUUGUUCCAUUACUUACUUUGUUUUGUUUCUACUUAAAUGACCCUGAUGUAUGGGGAUAGAUCACAUUGACCUGUCCCUCUCCACAAUUGCACAGCAUUUCCAAUCAAUUUAAUAAGUAUUCGUCAUCUAACACAUUACUCUUUCUCAACAUUUAUGAUAUCUACAGUAAACAACCACAUUCAGCAUCUGCAUGAAAAACUCCAAACAAUACAACAACACCAUCAAUUCACUUUUUUUGGUCAUAUACACUUAAUUCGGAAAGUAUUCAGAUCCUUCAACUUUUUCCACAUUUUGUUGUGUUACAGCCUUAUUCUAAAAUAUAUUAAAUACCCAAUAAUGACAAAGAAAAAUCUGUUUUUCAGAAUUGUUUUAAAAUGUAUAAAAAAAAACAGGAAAUGUCAAAUUUACAUUGGUAUUCAGACCCCUUACUUAAUACUUUGUUGAAGCACCUUUGGCAGCAAUUACAACCUCGAGUCUUCUUGGGUAUGACGCUACAAGCUUUGCACACCUGUUUUGGGGAGUUUCUCCCAUUCUUCUCUGCAGAUCUUCUCCAGCUCUGUCAGGUUAGAUGGGGAUCGUCACUGCACAGCUAUUUUCAGGUCUCUCCAGAGAUGCUCGAUUAGGUUCAAGUUCGGGCUCUGGCUGGGCCACUCAAGGACAUUCAGAGACGUGUCCUGAAACCACUCCUGCGUUAUCUUGGCUGUGUUCUUAGGGUCAUUGUCCUGUUGGAAGGUGAACCUUCGCCCCAGUCUGAAGUCCUGAGCUCUCUGGAGCAGGUUUUCAUCAAGGAUCUCUCUGUACUCUCUGUGAUCCAUUCAUCUUUUUCUCGAUCCUGACUAGUCUCCCAGUCCCUGCCGCUGAAAAACUUCCCCCACAACAUGAUGCUGCCACCACCAUGCUUCACCAGACAUGACGCUUGGCAUUCAGGACAAACAGUUCAAUCCUGGUUUUAUCAGACCAUAGAAUCUUGUUUCUCAUGGUCUGAGAGUCCUUUGGGUGCUUUUUGGCAAACUCCAAGCGGGCUGUCAUGUGCCUUUUACUGAGGAGUGGCUUCAGUCUGGCCACUUUAAAAUAAAGGCCUAAAUGGUGGAGUGGUGCAGAGAUUGUUGUCCUUCUGAAAGGUUCUCCCAUUUCCACAGAGGAACUAUAGAGCUCUGUCAGAGGGACCACAAGGUUCUUGGUCACCUCUUGACUAAGGCCCUUCUCCCCCGAUUGCUCAGUUUGGCCAGGGGGCCAGCUCUAGGAAGAGUCUUGGUUGUUCCAAUCAUUUCUUCCAUUUAAGAAUGAUGGAGGCCACUGCGUUCUCGGGGUCCUUCAAUGCUGCAUAAAUGUUUUGGUAAGGCAAAGUGACAUGGACAAAAACACAAAACAGUGCCUAUAGAAAGUCGACACCCCCUUGAACUUUUUUCACAUUUUGAAGUAUCAGUGCCUCAGAGUUUCAUGCAUUUAAAUAACGGUUUUCUCCCACUUAUCUACAUACCAUUCUCCACACUUUAAAAAUACAAAACAGUUUGGAGGGAGAGCCUGAUCUCGGCAUGGUCUUGGUGGUGCCAUAGACCUUCCAUUUCUUAAUAAUCAUCUUGACCGUGCACCAAGGGAUAUUUUGAAAUCUCAUUUGGUGCUCAUGGUUGAGGGGAGUGUAGAAUGUUCAUAGGGGGAGCAGCAGGGGGGGAACCACUGCCCACUGCCGCUAUCAUCCAGAUGGCGAGGUCAGUAGAGUUGCAUCAAAGCUGGGACUGAGAGACUGAAAAACAGCUUCUAUCUCAAGGCCAUCAGACUGCUAAACAGCCAUCACUAGCACAUCAGAGGCGGCUGCCUAUAGCCAUAGAUUAGGAAUCACUGGCCACUUUUAGAAAUGGAUCACUAGCCACUUUAAUUUUGUUUCCAUAUCUAGCAUUACUCAUCUCAUAUGUGUAAACUGCACACCACACAAUUCUACGGUAUCUUAGUCACUUUUAAAUUGUGUUUACAUAUUGCAUCACCCAUCUCAUAUAUACAUACUGUAUUGUAUUCUAUACUACACCACUGACUGUUAAACAGCCAUCUCCAGCUCAUCAGAGGCUGCUGCCUGUGGACAUAGAUUAGGAAUCACUGGUCACUUUAAGGAAAUGAAACACUAGCCACUUUAAUAUUGUCUCCAAAUCUUGCAUUACUCAUCUCAUAUGUGUAAACUGUACUCUAUACUAUCUUAGUCACUUUAAUUGUGUGUAAAUAUUGCAUCACCCAUCUCAUAUGUAUAUACUGUAUUCUGUACUAUGCCACUGUAUCUUAGUCCAAUGCCGCUCUGACAUAUAUGUAUAUAUUCUUAAUCCAUUCCUUACUUAGAUUUACGUGUAUUUUGGGUAUAUGUUGUGAAACUGUUAGAUAUUACUUGUUAGAUAUUACUGUACUGUCGGAGCUAGAAGCACAAGCAUUUUGCUACAACCGCAAUAACAUCUGAUAAACACGUGUAUGUGACCAAUACAUUUUAUUUUAUUUGAAAAGACAACACGAUAUACAGAAAAUAAGGCACUUAUAGUUAUGCACACAUGUCCAAAGUUAUUAUUUGUAAGAAAAACAACAAUGAAGGCAAUGCAGGCACCAACCAGAAAAUGUGCCAGGGGGAAAAGGUUUGUGCAAGGCCUAUUUUGACUAUAGAUGCACAAAUGUAUGCGUACUUGAUUUGAGGAAACACUGGAGAAGUGCUUGGGCUCUCCUCAAAGAUAGAAGUUUGUCCAGUUCAGUAAAGUCUCAAACAUAAAUUGUCCACAACAUUGAAAUGGGCUACUUCUUACGUGAAUUAAUGAGGAGGCAGAACACACCAGAGAUAAAAUGGAGCAUAAUUUUGUUUGAUUAAAUCAAUUUUUAUAUUCAAAUGUAGGAACUGGGCACAGAAAUGCCCUUAUCCAGAUGGUGUGACAAAGGCAUUUCCUAACAGACCUGCUAACUUUUUGUUGUUGUUACUUUCUACGGUUGGAACCAACAUGCAGUACUUCCAGCAGGAGAGAGGCAAGAACCAUUUGUCCACCAGCCCAGGAAAAAGUUCCCAGUCCUAUGUUAUGUGCAAUGUAAUUGCAUUGCUGGACAUUUCUAACUAAAUAUAUGUGUACUGUUUAAAAAAUUACAAAUGAAAGGAAAUGUAUGGCUUUAAUAUGUCUUUGACUUUAUAGUAAGAACAGCGUCAUAUGACACAAGGCAUUUAUGUAUGUGUUAUAAAUGACCAAAGGGGUCUGACUUUAUUAAAGAAUGUACAGCGUCAUGCGCUAUAGUCUUUCUGGAUGUGUUCUGAAUGACCAAAGGUGUCUCACUCACUAUAUUAUAAAGUGUCAAUAAAUAGGUUACUGUAGGGUGUGAGAGGUAUUUCAAUGGGUUGAUGGUGUAAUGGGAAAUGUUUAUUGUAUGUGUCCACAUAACUGUGAUUGUGACUAACCUUGUCAAACUGUGUGAAACUGUCCUGUUCUCGGAAGUAUCACCCCGUGUUGCAAACCAGCUUGCACCUGCGUCCUUGUAUAGAUCCGCCCAAGAACAGGAGACUAUAAAGAUAUGUGCCUAUCACCCAAUGCUUCGGAACUUAGACUGUCUACACUGCGCUGUUUAAGUCUGUUUCUCUCUGAGCUCAGAAAUAAACAAUCUUAGUUUGACUUGGACUCCAGCAAAUCCUUAUUUG
Molecule: long non-coding RNA, 5701 nt
Filed under: Salmo salar (Atlantic salmon)
Lineage: Eukaryota; Metazoa; Chordata; Actinopteri; Salmoniformes; Salmonidae
Description: lncRNA (ENSSSAG00000109678.1)
Source: RNAcentral